RNAcentral lists this long non-coding RNA (263 nucleotides) under Falco tinnunculus (common kestrel). RNAcentral's name for it is "lncRNA (ENSFTIG00000007236.1)". Lineage: Eukaryota; Metazoa; Chordata; Aves; Falconiformes; Falconidae. The record is from RNAcentral.
CUGGAAGUAUAAACACUUUUAUGAAAGAAUCAUUAUCCAAUGUUUCCACUCUUCUUGUGAAUAAAGAAACUAAUACCUUAUUUGUUGGAGGCAGAGAUGCAGUAUUUGCUGUUGACUUGAAUUAUAUUUCUAGAGAAAUAGCUAGGGAAUACUGGUUUGCUACACAGGAAAGACAACUGGAAUGUGUUCAUAGAGGAAAGGACAAGAUUGGAACUUCUGUUUUCCCCUAUAAAAUGCCAGAACUACAUACUCUUCCUCCAUAA